UGCACCGGAUCCCAUCAGAACUC
RNAcentral lists this small nuclear RNA (23 nucleotides) under Arabidopsis thaliana (thale cress). Its description in RNAcentral is "snRNA_02042". Lineage: Eukaryota; Viridiplantae; Streptophyta; Magnoliopsida; Brassicales; Brassicaceae. The record is from RNAcentral.